This is a long non-coding RNA of Bos taurus (domestic cattle), 437 nucleotides long. The record is from Ensembl. Lineage: Eukaryota; Metazoa; Chordata; Mammalia; Artiodactyla; Bovidae.
GGGAGGAGUGAGUCAUUUGAAGACAAGCAGUAUCUUCAUAUUUUCUCUUCAAUGUCUGAGUAGAUUUUGAAUAAAGAAAACCAAUGACUUUGUUAGAAACUAUGCUUGAUUUUUAAGUACAUAUUUCAGAAAAUACCAAAGUCCCAGGGGAAACCACAGGCCUAGCACCAGCCAAUAGCAUGACCACUGCCAACCUCCGGGGCUCCCAAGCCAGACCCUCCCUCCCAUGGGGGCAGCAGAUGAAGACGACCUCCCCCUCUCCAACAAACGGAAGAUGUCAACUACUUGACCACCAAGAGCACACAGCCCCAGGCCUGUGCCCUGGAGCCUAAGGACUGAUAAUGUUCACCCCUGAGACACCACUCUGCUACCUCACCAUCAGCCAAUCAGAGAUCUGCUACCUCAGUUCCAUUCAGUUGCUCACUCGUGUCCGACUC